UUGAUAAGCGUGAGGUCGGAGGUUCAAGUCCUCCCAGGCCCACCAAUUUACCUAUCCAUUUGCCUUUAUCUGUUUAUUUGCCGAUUUAUCGGUCCAUUGAAUUUAAGUGUUGGUAGCAGUUUUAUAAUGAUGAGAAAUCAUGCUUAUAAAAGAACUCCUUAUAAAAGGCUUGUUUUUAAAAUGUGACGCUUAUCCAUUUCGCUUAGGCAAGAGAAACUUCAAGCGGUUCAAAUACAAAAGGCUUUAAAUUUUGCAAAACACUUUGAAUUUUGCAAAACACUUUGAAUUUUAAAGUGAUCCAAGUUCGUGAUCUCGAAUUUAAAAGUUUCGAAUGCUUUAUCCUUUUUUGGGGGCCGUAGCUCAGCUGGGAGAGCACCUGCUUUG
Molecule: unclassified non-coding RNA, 384 nt
Filed under: uncultured Bartonella sp.
Lineage: Bacteria; Pseudomonadati; Pseudomonadota; Alphaproteobacteria; Hyphomicrobiales; Bartonellaceae
Description: partial 16S-23S ribosomal RNA intergenic spacer
Source: RNAcentral